GCAUAUCAAUAAGCGGAGGAAAAGAAACUAACAAGGAUUCCCUAGUAACUGCGAGUGAAGAGGGAGAAGCUCAAAUUUGAAAUCUGGCAGUCUCUGGCUGUCCGAGUUGUAAUUUAGAGAAGUGUUACCCGUGUUGGACCGUGUACAAGUCUCCUGGAAUGGAGCGUCAUAGAGGGUGAGAAUCCCGUCUUUGACACGGACUACCAGUGCUUUGUGGUGCGCUCUCGAAGAGUCGAGUUGUUUGGGAAUGCAGCUCUAAAUGGGUGGUAAAUUCCAUCUAAAGCUAAAUAUUGGCGAGAGACCGAUAGCGAACAAGUACCGUGAGGGAAAGAUGAAAAGAACUUUGGAAAGAGAGUUAAACAGUACGUGAAAUUGCUGAAAGGGAAACGCUUGAAGUCAGUCGCGUUGGCCAGGGAUCAGCCUUCCUUUUGGUUGGUGUACUUCCUGGUUAACGGGUCAGCAUCAGUUUUGACCGUUGGAUAAAGUCUAGGGGAAUGUGGCAUCUUCGGGUGUGUUAUAGCCUUUAGUCGUAUACAACGGUUGGGACUGAGGAACUCAGCACGCCGCAAGGCCGGGUCUUUGACCACGUUCGUGCUUAGGAUGCUGGCAUAAUGGCUUUAAUCGACCCGUCUUGAAACACGGACCAAGGAGUCUAACAUGCCUGCGAGUGUUUGGGUGGAAAACCCGAGCGCGUAAUGAAAGUGAAAGUUGAGAUCUCUGUCGUGGAGAGCAUCGACGCCCGGCCCAGACCUUCUGUGACGGUGCCGCGGUUGAGCAUGUAUGUUGGGACCCGAAAGAUGGUGAACUAUGCCUGAAUAGGGUGAAGCCAGAGGAAACUCUGGUGGAGGCUCGUAGCGAUUCUGACGUGCAAAUCGAUCGUCGAAUUUGGGUAUAGGGGGCGAAAGACUAAUCGAACCCAUCUAGUAGCUGGGUUCCUGCCGAAG
RNAcentral lists this ribosomal RNA (944 nucleotides) under Omphalotus japonicus. RNAcentral describes it as "LSU rRNA". It matches the Rfam family "Eukaryotic large subunit ribosomal RNA", at positions 38 to 966 of the family's 3401-position model. The record is from RNAcentral. Lineage: Eukaryota; Fungi; Basidiomycota; Agaricomycetes; Agaricales; Omphalotaceae.